Callithrix jacchus (white-tufted-ear marmoset) is the source of this 6215-nucleotide non-coding RNA. NCBI's taxonomy places the organism in Eukaryota, Metazoa, Chordata, Mammalia, Primates, Cebidae. The record is from RefSeq and is a predicted model, not a curated record.
CCGCCCCCUACCACCUAUUGGAUCGCCUAGCGGCUCCCUGGACUCCAUUCCGAUUGGCUCGCAACCCUCGUCAGUCAAGCUCGAGGGGCGCAUUCUUUUCCCAUGGACUUGACGGAUCCGGAACCUCUAGGACCCCGGAGCCGGAGAAACAAAUCAGAAACCGAGAGAAACCUGGCUGGGUCUUCCCUACGCUGUAGCAACAGCAGGGCCUCCACUUGACGGACGCUUCGGACCACCAAUCCGAGUGGCCAAUGCUUUUUAAAACUAAAUGGAGCCAAACCAAUCAUGGCCGUGGAGCCGGAGCCGCGAGGGAGCCAAUGGGGUGGCGAGCUGGCCGGACGGGGCGGAGGCGACGGGGACACCGGUAAUGAUGUGAGCCACAAUGCGCGACGGCUGCGGAAGCCUAGCCGGGCCCUGGUGUUAGCUUAAGCCGCGAAGCGUUCGCUCAGCAUGUGAGUGGUAGUAAGAUCGAUACCCGCAUUGUCGACAGCGACAUUUUAUCAGGGGGCUCUCCUGUCUCGCCCUCUUUACUCGAAAGAGGUGGCUGUGCUGGAAGCGAGGUCAAGUCUCGGGCAUGUCCUCAUUCUCAGCGUGAGAACAGACCAACGCAGCAACCAAGGGGCCUGGAAUGCUCCCUUCCUGAGUUCAAGCAACCAGCCUCGGGAGAUGUCUCCUGUCCGAGAGGCCGCCCGCACCCAACUGAGGCCCAGAAACCCCGCAUGCAGCUAUGGAAUGUCUGGCACCCCGCUUCCUGGGACCCCUUUCUCUGGCCAGUUGGCGAAUCUUGGGGACAGGAGGGGCAGUAGCAGCAGCCACCUGCCCCGAAGGUCAUCUUGAUGAGAGGCAAAGGAAACCCAGGUACUUUUGGCCCCAGAUGCCUGCACUGCUCCUGAGUAACUGCCCUGUGACCAGAUGCUGAGCUGUGAAGGCAGAGAUGGGACUUCAGCCAGCCCCUUUGUGGCCAGCCCCCCAGCAGUGGGAGAUGUCCCCACAGGCCCUGAGUGUCCCUCACACCAGUGAGCACCUCACCAGGCUCCUCAGGGACCUUCCCAGGAACUGUUCUUCUGACCUUUCCUCCCGCCCCGCCUCCCUCCAUCGAGCACACUCCAGCUCCUGCAGUUACGCCCUUGUUCCGAACACUUGGGGGCUCUAUGUCCCUGCUGAAGCUCUGACCCAUGCACAGAGGUCGCCACGCUGAGGGAGGGGCCGCGGCCCCAUUCCAGACACAGGCACGCCUUUCACAAGGGCCUGCACUGACACUGGCCCCAAAGCCGGGAUAGUAGACAAAUCCACCAUGCGAACUUGCCCUCCGGGGCCGGGCAGCACACAACCAGCCCUACAAAGGGAUGAAGGGAGCAGGGGACCCAGGCCCAGACACCGACACAGGUCUGCACCUUCCAGCAAGUGCCGCUGACGGCACCCCAACCCAACAUGCAACUUCCCAAAGGGCGUGGGGCUUAGGUGGGUCUCCUAAGGCCAUCCUGGAAAGCAUAGGGCCAGAUCCGAGCUCCUAUGAGUAACGGGAACAGAACUGUCAGUUACGCCCCGAGGGACUCAGUUCUCCUGGCCCCCAGUGUGGUACGAGAGCACAGCCUUUCACGCCAGACAAACCUGGGUGAAGUCCUGCUUCACCACCUUCCAGCUGCAGCAGGAUCCCUGGGGAGGGACUUCACCUGUCUCAGCCUCAGUUUCUUCAUCUUUAAAAUGGGCUCGACCCAGCACUUUGGGAGGCUGAGGUGGGUGGAUCACUUGAGGUCAGGAGUUUGAGACCAGCCUGGCCAAUAUGGUGAAACCCCGUCUCUACUAAAAAUACAAAAAUUAGCUGGGCAUGGUGGCGGGCACCUGUAAACCCAGCUACAUGUGAGGCUGAGGUGGGAGAAUCUCUUGAACCUAGGAGGCGGAGGCUGCAGUGAGUUAAGAUUCCACCACUGCACUCCAGCCUGGGCGACAGAUCAGGACUCUGUCUCAAAACAAAUAGAUAAAAAUAAUCAAAUACAGUAAUGAAAUGGGCUUUCGAAGGCCUGCUUCCUGGGGCUAUCCUGAUGGCUGGCAGGUAGCCUAUGGAGAGUGCCCAGGCCCUUCCCCUGCCCUUUAGGAAGCAGCACUGGGCCCUGUUCUUUCUGGAGAGGGCCCUCCUUGGCCCAGAGAGCCAGCAUAGGGAUUCCUCAGGAUUUAACCCCAACAUCAGGAGGGCGCAAGACUGGGGGCAUUUCAGGGGGGGUUUCAAAGAAGGAACCAGAGGGGGCGGCAGCAGAAAGGGCUUCCUGCAGCUGCCCAUGCCCCAGCCUAGGGGGUCUGUUUGCACCUCUUCCCACGAACUUGACCAGACCUGGUUUCUCUCCUACAUCCCAAGGCAAAAUGUGAGAUUCUGUCCAACUCUGCACUGGGCAGACUUCUGGCAAGAUCCACCAGAACAGCGUCUUGGCAGCGUCUCAGACGUCCAGUGACCCCGGCCAUGCCCUCUUCAACGAGGACUGGAUCUUGACCCAGGUUGGGGGUGGGGAGGCUCCACCUCAGCCCAUCGGCUAUUCCUGUAUUUUUUGAGAUAGAGUCUGUCUCUGUCGCCCAGGCUUGAGUACAUUGGCAUGAUCUCAGCUCACUACAACCCCUGGGAUUACAGGCGCGUGCCACCAUGCCCGGCUAAUUUUUGUGUUUUUAGUAGAGACGGGGUUUCAUCAUGUUGGCCAGGCUGGUCUCAAACUUCUGACCUUGUGAUCUUCCUGCCUUGGCCUACAAAGUGCUGGAAAUACAGGCAUGAGCCAGUGUGGCCCUCUGCUGAGAAAAGACGGACUGUCCCCUUCAGAGGGCCACUUGGCAAGAGAAGUUAAAAUGGCCAAGGCUCCACCACAGCAGGAGAGGGGACCCCGAUGGCCUCCAGAGGCACCCCAGCCACGCCUGACAAGGAGUGCUGUUCAGCCACCGAGAAUGUGACAGCUCUGCCCUUGAAGCAGAACAAACUUCAGGGUGCGGGGGAAAGUGGAGGAAAAGGUGGUCGUGAGCUGGCCAGCCUGGCCCCACUGUCUACUGACCCAAUGACUCAGGCCGGUGGAUAACGCUCAGUUCUUCGGCCUCCUUGCUGCAAAAUGAGGAAAACAACAGCACCACCACCGGGAGAUGAGUUAAGGCAGAGUUCUAGGCGGGGUGCACAUGGCAGCCAGGAGCCCCCAAAAUACUCAGAACACCAGCCUUUUUAUUUUUCUUUUUGAGAGCAGUCUUUCUCUGUUGCCAAGCUGGAGUGCAGUGGCGCAAUCCCGGCUCACUGCAACCUCCGCUUCCCAGGUUCAAGCGAUUUUCUUGUCUCAGCCUCCCAAGUAGCUGGGACUGCAGGCGUGUACCACCACGCCCGGCUAAUUUUUGCUUUUUUUUUUUUUCAGUAGAGAAAGGUUUCACCAUGUUGGCCAGGAUAGUUUCCAUCUCCUGACCUCGUGAUCCACCCACCUGGAGCCUUGGAGCCUCCCAAAGUGCUGGGAUCACAGGCGUGAGCCACCGCAUCCAGCAUAACACCAGCCUUAGCCGUUAUAUAUCGUUAGUAGCAAAAGCCAAGGCUCAGCGCUGACUAUUCAGAUGCUGUCUGUCGGGCUUAUGAAAACACGUAUGUCAGCCAGGCACAGUGGCUCAUGCCUGUAAUCCUAACACUUUGGGAGGCUGAGGCAGGAGGAUUACUUUAGCUUAAGAGUUCAAGACCAGCCUCGGCAAUACAGUGAGACCUCGUCUCUACAAAAAAAUGUAAAGAGUAACACCUGCAGUCCCAACUACCUGCAGGGCUGAGGCAGGAGAAUCGAGUGAGCCCAGGAGUUUGAGGGUGCAGUGAGCUGUGAUUGUGCCACUGCGCUCCCACUGGGUGAGAGAGGGGGACCAUGUCUCAAAAACAAACAAAAAACACCUAUGUCCAUCUGAAUAAGGUCAAAAGAUCCUAUCAGUGUCUUGCUUAUGACAGGCAUGAAGGCAUGCAAGAUGUAAACUAGGCGGAGGAUGAAUGGGGCUGUGCUGUUUCUCACAGCUGCACCUAAAUCUACAAUUAUCUUUUUGCUGGGAAAACAAAGUCCACACUCUUGUGUGCUUGCGUAUGCACAGAUUACUCCUGGGGGGACACACAGAAACACACCACAGGAGGUCAUGCCUCCCGGGGCAUCCUGCUUGGGGUUAUGGAGGCGGGGGUCCCUCUGGACUGCAGGCUCUUCUAUACUAUUUGAAUUUUGUGCCAUGAACAUAUAUUUGACAGAUGCAAAAUAACUUUGCUAAUUUUUUUUUUUUUUUGAGACAUACGAGUCUCGCUCUGUCGCCAGGCUGGAGUGCAGUGGCACUAUCUAGGCUCACUGUAACCUCCACCUCCUGGGUUCAAGCAAUUCUCCUGCCUCAGCCUCCCGAGUAGCUGGGACUACAGGCGACCGCCACCACACCUGGCUAAUUCUUGUGUUUUUAGCAGGGAUGAGGUUUCACCAUGUUGGCCAGGACACAAUCUCUUGACCUCGUGAUCUGCCCACUUCAGCCUACCAGAGUGCUGGGAUUCCAGGCAUAAGCCACCACGCCCAGCCUAACUUUGCUAAUUUAAAAAUGGCUGGCUUCAUGCAGUUUCUUUUACGGGUAGAAAAAGGUUCUAAAAUUAACUGUGGUGAGGGUUGCACACAUCUGUGAAUAUCCUAAAACCCACCGAAUCAUACACUUUUUGAAGCGAGUGAGCUGUAUGGUUAAACAAUCGAUUUUAAAAAAUAGCUGGCUGGUCGGUGCCAUCUCUUAUUGCCUGAUAAGCUCCUCCCAGCUCCCAAGGAGAACAGGAAAGAAUUCCACGUCCUGAGCCUCCUGCUGCGUGCGCGGGCCGGGCCCCGGUUUCUGGCGCUCCUGGCUGGUUAGGUGAUGAUGCAGCAGCAGGAGCGGAGAAGAAGUCUAAACUCUCUGCUUCUGGCUCCCAGCUCCCUUUGUCCCCAAACACAGCCAGGCCCUGGAGCCUGCAGACGACUCAGUUCCUGUCCAGGACACCAAGGAUAACCCUCUUCUGCUCCUUCCUUCCCAGGGCCCACCACGGUCAGGAGCGAUAAGAAGGCAACGCCCCACAAAAGAAGUAAAAAUGAAAUAAAGCAAACAAAAAAGGCAACACCCCAGGCCAGGUGCUGUGGCUCAGCCUGCAAUCCCAACACCUUGGGAGGCUGAGGCGCGAGGGUCACUGGAGGCCAGGAAUUGGAGACCAGCCUGGGCAACAGAGUGAAACUCUGUCUCUGCAAAAAAUGUCAACAUUAGCUGGGCAUGGGGACGCAUGCGUGCAGUCCUAGCUACCUGGGGGCUGAGGUGGGAGGAUCGCUUGAGCUAGGUCAAGACCGGAGUGAGCCACGACAGCGCCACCGCACUCCAGCCUGACUGACAGAGCGAGACCCUGUCCCAAAAAAACAAAACAAGAAAGAAACAAAGACAAGACCCCAUAUGUGAGGGACACUCAGAAGGGCAGGAAGAACCAGCCCUGGUGAGGUGGGGCGCCCUGGUGAGGCCCCAGAGGAAGCGGAGGGGGCUGGCUUUACCUUAGGGGCAAACAGCUGCAGGAACUAGAUUGUGGAAAAUGAAAAGCAUUCAAAGCGUGUCAACACACAGGGGUUCACAUCCAGGUGCCAAGCUCACCUUGGCACCCUGGGGCUGUGCUCCCAGAAAUGGGCGUUCUCCCCAGCCAGCCCCCUGGAUGCUGGAGGGUGCCGACAGUUUAUCCUCUUCUCACUCACUUCGCUUGGAGGGUGUGGCUCAGCGAGAGCCUCCCCUCAGCCUGCUGAAAGCUCCGGGAAGGAUUUUAGCCACGAAAAUCACCCCGUGUGUCUGUCCUACACAAAACCAUGCAGCUGUUUUCCUGGCUGGGAGGACAGGGGGUUUGUGGUGGGCAACCCGAGGGGAAGCUCACAGAGGGCAGACGGGCCUGGUGCAGGCGGCCAUCACUGGGCUGCCCGUGUGCAACAGGCGGCCAUCUGGAGGCUGACGUGGCCCCACAGCCAUUCUAGGAGGUGGAUUCGGGUAAGAUUUCAGCUCUUUAUAUUUCUGUGUGGUUUUCAGAGUAUCCACAGACAACAAUGUCUUUAAAGAAUGUUUGUAGAGAGGGAAGAAAGCAAGCAUGCCUCAGAGGCGGCGGGGGGACCGCCCCCAAGAACCCGAGAAGCCUCUUCUGGCCGGAGCUGAAGGCCGGAGGGGCCCACAGCCACAUCCCGCCCCACCCCUCCCCAGCCCCGCCACUCACCGGCGGG